RNAcentral lists this long non-coding RNA (475 nucleotides) under Centruroides sculpturatus (bark scorpion). Its description in RNAcentral is "uncharacterized LOC111615963, transcript variant X1". The record is from RNAcentral. Lineage: Eukaryota; Metazoa; Arthropoda; Arachnida; Scorpiones; Buthidae.
AAACUAAACAAUACAAAUUUUAAUAUAAGACUGAUGAUUUUACAAUGAUGUAGACAGUUUUGUAUUAGUAAUUUAUUUUUCUUUCCAAAUUCUAGGUCAUAUUUAAACAUUGGAUUAUUCGUCAUUGAAAUAUAUAUUGCGAAAGAAAACUGAAUAGUGGAUCGAUCCAAAUGGAAAAAUAUCCUGAUUGGUGUCACUUCUAGAGUCUAAAAAAAGUUAUUGUUUGCGCCGAUCCGCGGAACAUUCCAGCUCAACGAGGUGUGUUAUACCCUUUUCGUCGAGAGCCACAUCGGGAAGGAAUUUCUGAUCUUUAUAAGAAGCAUCCACGCAGAAGAACAAACAAACGUCGACGGAGAAUAAUUUGUUAAUUAAAAAUUACAAGCAAUGUUAACAUUUGUUCAUUAUCCCCACUACGAAUACGAGGAAUUUAUCAAUAUCUUUUCGUAUCGCGUUUCGUUCGAAGGCGAUAUUGUUU